UACGUAGGGGGCAAGCGUUGUCCGGAUUUAUUGGGCGUAAAGCGCUCGCAGGUGGUUCGUCGCGUCGUGCGUGAAAGACCCCGGCUCAACUGGGGAGGGUCGUGCGAUACGGGCGAACUGGAGGCCAGUAGGGGGAUGCGGAAUUCCGGGUGUAGUGGUGGAAUGCGUAGAGAUCCGGAGGAACACCAGCGGCGAAGGCGGCAUCCUGGACUGGUCCUGACACUCAGGAGCGAAAGCGUGGGGAGCGAACAGG
This 253-nucleotide ribosomal RNA is filed under the name uncultured bacterium. RNAcentral describes it as "partial 16S ribosomal RNA". It matches the Rfam family "Bacterial small subunit ribosomal RNA", at positions 524 to 776 of the family's 1533-position model. The record is from RNAcentral.